GGGGAGAUACCAAAGUGGCCAACUGGGGCGGACUGUAACUCCGCUGACUACGUCUUCGUAGGUUCGAAUCCUACUCUCCCCACUA
RNAcentral lists this transfer RNA (85 nucleotides) under Aureibaculum algae. Its description in RNAcentral is "Flavobacteriaceae bacterium 10Alg115 tRNA-Tyr". It matches the Rfam family "tRNA". From Rfam's summary of the family: Transfer RNA (tRNA) molecules are approximately 80 nucleotides in length. Their secondary structure includes four short double-helical elements and three loops (D, anti-codon, and T loops). Further hydrogen bonds mediate the characteristic L-shaped molecular structure. tRNAs have two regions of fundamental functional importance: the anti-codon, which is responsible for specific mRNA codon recognition, and the 3' end, to which the tRNAs corresponding amino acid is attached (by aminoacyl-tRNA synthetases). tRNAs cope with the degeneracy of the genetic code in two manners: having more than one tRNA (with a specific anti-codon) for a particular amino acid; and 'wobble' base-pairing, i.e. permitting non-standard base-pairing at the 3rd anti-codon position. Lineage: Bacteria; Pseudomonadati; Bacteroidota; Flavobacteriia; Flavobacteriales; Flavobacteriaceae. The record is from RNAcentral.